GAUGAAGAACGUAGCGAAAUGCGAUAAGUAAUGCGAAUUGCAGAAUUUCCGUGAGUCAUCGAAUCUUUGAACGCACAUUGCGCCCUCUGGUAUUCUGGAGGGCAUGCCUGUCCGAGCGUCAUUGCUAUACCUCAAGCCCGGCUUGUGUGAUGGACUCACUGUCUUAUUGGACAGUAGCCCCAAAGGCAGUGGCAGGGUCGCAGUCCGGUCUUUUAAAUGCGUAUGGGGCAUUGUCACCCGCUUGAAAGCUGGCCGACCCUUUAAGCCUAUUGUGAGAGCAAUCCACAAUUUUUUUUUUUCUUGAUGGACCUCGGAUCAGGUAGGGAUACCCGCUGAACUUAAGCAUAUCAAUAAGCGGAGGA
Molecule: unclassified non-coding RNA, 362 nt
Filed under: soil metagenome
Description: partial contains 5.8S ribosomal RNA, internal transcribed spacer 2, and large subunit ribosomal RNA
Rfam family: 5.8S ribosomal RNA (bases 1-121)
Source: RNAcentral